Molecule: ribosomal RNA, 639 nt
Filed under: Cystofilobasidium macerans
Lineage: Eukaryota; Fungi; Basidiomycota; Tremellomycetes; Cystofilobasidiales; Cystofilobasidiaceae
Description: eukaryotic LSU rRNA
Rfam family: Eukaryotic large subunit ribosomal RNA
Source: RNAcentral
GCAUAUCAAUAAGCGGAGGAAAAGAAACUAACAAGGAUUCCCCUAGUAACGGCGAGUGAAGCGGGAAGAGCUCAAAUUUAAAAUCUGGCAGGCUACGCUUGUCCGAAUUGUAAUCUCGAGAAGUGUUUUCCGCGUUGGCCUGUGUACAAGUCCCUUGGAACAGGGCGUCAUAGAGGGUGAGAAUCCCGUCCUUGACACAGAUACCCAAUGCUUUGUGAUACACUCUCAAUGAGUCGAGUUGUUUGGGAAUGCAGCUCAAAAUGGGUGGUAAAUUCCAUCUAAAGCUAAAUACUGGCGAGAGACCGAUAGCGAACAAGUACCGUGAGGGAAAGAUGAAAAGCACUUUGGAAAGAGAGUCAAACAGUACGUGAAAUUGUUGAAAGGGAAACGAUUGAAGUCAGUCGUGCCUGCCUAGUCUCAGCCUUUUGGUGUACUACUAGGCCGGCAGGUCAGCAUCAGUUUGGGAGGAUUAACAAGGGAGUUAGGAAUGUGGCAACCUCGGUUGUGUUAUAGCCUAGCUUCGCAUUGAUCUUGCUGGACUGAGGAACGCAGUGCGCCCGCAAGGGUUGGUCUUCGGACACAUUCGCACUUAGGAUGCUGGCAUAAUGGCUUUAAACGACCCGUCUUGAAACACGGACC